Gallus gallus (chicken) is the source of this 1776-nucleotide long non-coding RNA. The record is from Ensembl. NCBI's taxonomy places the organism in Eukaryota, Metazoa, Chordata, Aves, Galliformes, Phasianidae.
AACAACCACAGAGCUGUCUCAAUUGCUGAUAGAAGACACCUGCUUCAACGGCUGAAGACACCUGAUCACCUAUCCCAUAAAUAGUGGGCUUGUAAAUAGACUAACCUGUAUUUAUGAAUCCUUCUUAAGAGGUGUGGUCUGGGGAAAGGGGGUGACCUUGAAAAUCAUUGCCAGGUCGGAUUUACGGCCAUCGUGUACUCUCAUCAAGUAAGAAAAUCAAAGAGAAGCCUAAAGUUAAAUCGGUACUUCAAACAGCAGCAACGUCCUGAGUUCUAGGAGCCUACUGCAUACUUCCACUAAGUGCUGUGAUAUGACAGAAAGAUAGUGGCUGAGAUAUUGCCAUGUCUGUUGAAAUGGUUGAAACAUCUGUAUGUGGAGAAAAAUUUCAGCACUUCAUUACUUCAGUGUCUUUGCUCAGUCCUUGAAGCUAAUGCUGGAUGUUGAAAAUUUGAAAGCCUUUUUUUUGUUUUUAGGCCACUGGUAUAUGUAAAAUGAGACACAGUUGUCAUCUUUCAGGAAUGUGAAUUAAUUUAAAAAUUAAAAUGCUUGAAACUUUAUUUAAUGAGUAACUAAUUCGAUUGCAAAGCGUGGUUUGCCUGUCCUUAAUGGUCGUAGGUUAUACUGAGGUAGAUAUAAUUUCAGUCCCUAGGUGAGUGUGAGAAGACGUAUACAUAUAUCAGAGUGGAGAUGGUAGGAGGAAAUAACUUAAUCUAAAUGCUGUCACUGAACAAAACAGCAGUGUGUAAAGACACAUGCAGCUGUGAAACUGCAGAUGGAAUAACAAGAAAACAGAAUCUAACUGUGCAUGUUGAAGCAGAUGUGAAGCAGAGAGCAUACUCCAAGCAGCUGAUUUUAAAAAGAAAUAAAGGUAGCACUGGACUAACUAUCAUCGAUUACUUACACUGAAAAACUUAAAAUAGUUAUUUGUAUACAUUUUCAAGAGGUAGACACAGUCCUAUAGUCCCACCUGCCUGAACAGUAUGGCUGCAGUUCCUUCAUGUGAUAAAAGAUACUGAACUACACGUGCCAGUUCCAAGAAAGCCAAAUCUGGCGUUUGAGGAAAGCUGAGCGAAGGCAGAAGGCACAAACAUAACAAGUUGAUGAUUUGUCUUCUAUCACAAGCAUCUCAUUCAUGGACUUUUCUUGGCCAAAGGGGUACAAUCUUCGCUUUGUCUCAUCUGUUCCUUCCUUUUCUACCAAAGUGGUGCCAGCCAUUUUCUCCUCCCUUGCAGCAAGGAAAUAGCAAGUGGGAAGUUUUCUCCAUUCCAAGCUCCUGGUAUAAGAUUUGAUUCAAAUACCACUUCUUUAUGUUGUCUUAGACUUUGAAUAUGAGCAGCGUUAACCCUUGGAGCUUAACUCAAGCAACCUCCUCCUUUGUGUGGUUAAAAAGCCAUCUGCCCCCGUGGUUGCUCAUCUCCAGAUGUCACUGCUGCUAGAUGUUUUUUUUCCCAGCUUUACCCCUCUGCAACGCCACCGACCUUUGCCUCUGACUUGUCCCAUUCAGUCUGCCAGAAAGGCUUACAGAACCUCUGUAAACACAAUCAUACAUUUUUUUCCAGAGUGCCUGAUGCUGUACUUGUGAUAGAUUUAUUAUCUGUAAAUAGCAGUGCAUAAUACUCAAAGCCUACCUGACUACUACAUGGCAAGAGACUCAGCAGAAAUUUUAGUGCCUCCUUUUCCCAUUGAGCACUUAGAAAACCUUCACAGUUUCUGGAAGGGAGGUGCUUAUUGAACUAGUCACUAGAAGGUGCUUCACAAAGAAUGUUCUGAGGGUAG